AUUGAACGCUGGCGGCAUGCCUUACACAUGCAAGUCGAACGGUAACGCGCUUUCGGGUUCCGCUGAGUGGCGGACGGGUGCGUAAUACAUCGGAACGUGCCCGAUCGUGGGGGUUAACGAGGCGUAAGGUUUGCUAAUACACCAUACGAUCUAAGGCUGACAGCGGGGGAACGCAAGGGAUUGUGCGGCCGGGGGGGCCUGUAGCAGCCGAUGUCGUAUUAGGUAGUUGGGGGGGUAAAGCCCUACCAAGGCGACGGUCCGUAGCUGGUCUGAGAGGACGAUCAGCCACACUGGGACUGAGACACGGCCCAGACUCCUACGGGAGGCAGCAGUGGGGAAUUUUGGACAAUGGGCGCAAGCCUGAUCCAGCCAUGCCGCGUGCAGGAUGAAGGCCUUCGGGUUGUAAACUGCUUUUGUACGGAACGAAAAGCCUUCGUUUAAUACAGGAGGGUCAUGACGGUACCGUAAGAAUAAGCACCGGCUAACUACGUG
Molecule: ribosomal RNA, 492 nt
Filed under: uncultured bacterium
Lineage: Bacteria
Description: partial 16S ribosomal RNA
Rfam family: Bacterial small subunit ribosomal RNA
Source: RNAcentral